This 393-nucleotide ribosomal RNA is filed under the name Triticum aestivum (bread wheat). RNAcentral's name for it is "partial small subunit ribosomal RNA". Lineage: Eukaryota; Viridiplantae; Streptophyta; Magnoliopsida; Poales; Poaceae. The record is from RNAcentral.
AUGUUGCAUUAUGUUGUACUACCAGUACACCUGCUCAAUAUUUGUAACUGCAUCCAGUACACCUGCUCAAUAUUUGUAAUUUCGUUGAUUCAGAGUUUCAUAGGUAAUUCGCAUAAUGGAUUGUCAUACAUAAUUUGCAUUAUGUUGCAUUAUGUUGUACUACCAACAACCAAAGGGAGUGCAUGGUUUUGUGUUCGAGCCUCCAACAGGCUAUGCAUGCCCCCAAUGAAUUCUUUUGUGCUGUUACAAUCAUCAGUCGAGAUUUUAAAAAAUCAUAUAUUUGUGAUUCCUAAAAACUCAAAACAAAUCAAAAAAGUUGAGUUUCAUACAAAUUGUAGCUUAUGGGGAGUUGUUGCUCUUGGGGAUGCACAUUGCCGUGCAAAGCCUUGUUGA